This 72-nucleotide transfer RNA is filed under the name Camelus bactrianus (Bactrian camel). It matches the Rfam family "tRNA". From Rfam's summary of the family: Transfer RNA (tRNA) molecules are approximately 80 nucleotides in length. Their secondary structure includes four short double-helical elements and three loops (D, anti-codon, and T loops). Further hydrogen bonds mediate the characteristic L-shaped molecular structure. tRNAs have two regions of fundamental functional importance: the anti-codon, which is responsible for specific mRNA codon recognition, and the 3' end, to which the tRNAs corresponding amino acid is attached (by aminoacyl-tRNA synthetases). tRNAs cope with the degeneracy of the genetic code in two manners: having more than one tRNA (with a specific anti-codon) for a particular amino acid; and 'wobble' base-pairing, i.e. permitting non-standard base-pairing at the 3rd anti-codon position. RNAcentral also lists the same sequence under 2 other names. Lineage: Eukaryota; Metazoa; Chordata; Mammalia; Artiodactyla; Camelidae. The record is from Rfam by way of RNAcentral.
GUGGAUAUAGCUCAGUGGUAGAGUGCAUGCUUAGCAUGAGAGAGAUCCUGGGUUCAAUUCCCAGUACCAUCA